RNAcentral lists this ribosomal RNA (465 nucleotides) under Vreelandella stevensii. Its description in RNAcentral is "partial 16S ribosomal RNA". It matches the Rfam family "Bacterial small subunit ribosomal RNA", at positions 338 to 795 of the family's 1533-position model. The record is from RNAcentral. Lineage: Bacteria; Pseudomonadati; Pseudomonadota; Gammaproteobacteria; Oceanospirillales; Halomonadaceae.
CCUACGGGUGGCAGCAGUGGGGAAUAUUGGACAAUGGGGGGAACCCUGAUCCAGCCAUGCCGCGUGUGUGAAGAAGGCCCUCGGGUGGUAAAGCACUUUCAGUGAGGAAGAACGCCUGGUGGUUAAUACCCAUCAGGAAAGACAUCACUCACAGAAGAAGCACCGGCUAACUCCGUGCCAGCAGCCGCGGUAAUACGGAGGGUGCGAGCGUUAAUCGGAAUUACUGGGCGUAAAGCGCGCGUAGGUGGCUUGAUAAGCCGGUUGUGAAAGCCCCGGGCUCAACCUGGGAACGGCAUCCGGAACUGUCAAGCUAGAGUGCAGGAGAGGAAGGUAGAAUUCCCGGUGUAGCGGUGAAAUGCGUAGAGAUCGGGAGGAAUACCAGUGGCGAAGGCGGCCUUCUGGACUGACACUGACACUGAGGUGCGAAAGCGUGGGUAGCAAACAGGAUUAGAUACCCUGGUAGUC